GAAGAUGAACAACGAAGAAGAAGAACAGA
Molecule: small RNA, 29 nt
Filed under: Arabidopsis thaliana (thale cress)
Lineage: Eukaryota; Viridiplantae; Streptophyta; Magnoliopsida; Brassicales; Brassicaceae
Description: ATSL144430
Source: RNAcentral